UACGGAGGAUGCAAGCGUUAUCCGGAAUGAUUGGGCGUAAAGGGUCCGCAGGUGGCAGUGUAAGUCUGCUGUCAAAGAAUGAGGCUUAACCUCAUCAAGGCAGUGGAAACUACACAGCUAGAGUACGGUCGGGGUAGAAGGAAUUCCUGGUGUAGCGGUGAAAUGCGUAGAGAUCAGGAAGAACACCAGUGGCGAAGGCGCUCUGCUAGGCCGUAACUGACACUGAGGGACGAAAGCUAGGGGAGCGAAUGGG
This 253-nucleotide ribosomal RNA is filed under the name uncultured bacterium. RNAcentral's name for it is "partial 16S ribosomal RNA". It matches the Rfam family "Bacterial small subunit ribosomal RNA", at positions 524 to 776 of the family's 1533-position model. The record is from RNAcentral.